GGUGAGGGAUGAAAGCUGGGGGAGCAAACCGGAUUAGAUACCCGGGUAGUCCCAGCUGUAAACGAUGCAAACUCGGUGAUGCAUUGGCUUAUGGCCAAUGCAGUGCCGCAGGGAAGCCGUUAAGCUUGCCGCCUGGGAAGUACGGACGCAAGUCUGAAACUUAAAGGAAUUGGCGGGGGAGCACCACAAGGGGUGAAGCCUGCGGUUCAAUUGGAUUCAACGCCGG
This 226-nucleotide ribosomal RNA is filed under the name uncultured archaeon. RNAcentral's name for it is "partial 16S ribosomal RNA". It matches the Rfam family "Archaeal small subunit ribosomal RNA", at positions 696 to 921 of the family's 1478-position model. The record is from RNAcentral.